This 490-nucleotide ribosomal RNA is filed under the name uncultured bacterium. RNAcentral's name for it is "bacterial SSU rRNA". It matches the Rfam family "Bacterial small subunit ribosomal RNA", at positions 903 to 1397 of the family's 1533-position model. The record is from RNAcentral.
AAAUGAAUAGACGGGGGCCCGCACAAGCAGUGGAUUAUGUGGUUUAAUUCGAAGCAACGCGAAGAACCUUACCAGGGCUUGACAUGGAGACGACCGUACUAGAGAUAGUGCUUUCCCUUCGGGGACGUCUCACACAGGUGGUGCAUGGUUGUCGUCAGCUCGUGUCGUGAGAUGUUGGGUUAAGUCCCGCAACGAGCGCAACCCUUAUUGUUAGUUGCUACGCAAGAGCACUCUAGCGAGACUGCCGUUGACAAAACGGAGGAAGGUGGGGACGACGUCAAAUCAUCAUGCCCCUUAUGUCCUGGGCUACACACGUAAUACAAUGGCGUUUAACAGAGGGAAGCAAAGCCGCGAGGUGGAGCAAAUCCCUAAAAGACGUCUCAGUUCGGAUCGCAGGCUGCAACCCGCCUGCGUGAAGUCGGAAUUGCUAGUAAUCGCGGAUCAGCAUGCCGCGGUGAAUACGUUCCCGGGCCUUGCACACACCGCCCGU